This 497-nucleotide ribosomal RNA is filed under the name uncultured bacterium. RNAcentral's name for it is "partial 16S ribosomal RNA". It matches the Rfam family "Bacterial small subunit ribosomal RNA", at positions 28 to 507 of the family's 1533-position model. The record is from RNAcentral.
GAUGAACGCUGGCGGCGUGCCUAAUACAUGCAAGUCGAGCGAACAGAUGAGGAGCUUGCUCCUCUGACGUUAGCGGCGGACGGGUGAGUAACACGUGGAUAACCUACCUAUAAGACUGGGAUAACUUCGGGAAACCGGAGCUAAUACCGGAUAAUAUAUUGAACCGCAUGGUUCAAUAGUGAAAGACGGUUUUGCUGUCACUUAUAGAUGGAUCCGCGCCGCAUUAGCUAGUUGGUAAGGUAACGGCUUACCAAGGCAACGAUGCGUAGCCGACCUGAGAGGGUGAUCGGCCACACUGGAACUGAGACACGGUCCAGACUCCUACGGGAGGCAGCAGUAGGGAAUCUUCCGCAAUGGGCGAAAGCUUGACGGAGCAACGCCGCGUGAGUGAUGAAGGUCUUCGGAUCGUAAAGCUCUGUUAUUAGGGAAGAACAAAUGUGUAAGUAACUAUGCACGUCUUGACGGUACCUAAUCAGAAAGCCACGGCUAACUACGUG